GAUGGUGGGGAGCAGGGGUCGCACAAAGAGCCUGAUGCAUUCUGGGCAAAUGUUCCACUCCUGGGUUGAGAGCCAAUGUUGCAGCUUUGUAUCAUGAGAGACAAACUGCCGGAUACAGCAGGAGGUGCAGGAGGGUGCCAGGCAGCACCAGAGGGGAGAAGCAGAUGGCAGAGAGUUCAUGAGAUGCCUCAGCCUCGAAGGUUGUGAAAUCCACACUGUGGAAGUUCACGUUGUCACGCGCUGGUGACAACCAGAAAACACGAUCAUAAGUUCCGAUCUACGCUACGAAUUUGGAGCAGAGAGGGACAAGGCCAGUUGUCAUGAAUGUCACUGUGCUGGCAUAGACAACAGGGAAAAGGACUGGCAUUGAAGUUGGCUGUCCAGCAGCUCCAGGGUGUCUCCGCCUUAACUCUCCCAGACUCACUUUGGGUGCCACGGUGCCCCAGGCCAGGGGAAGAAUGACCUUGGGUUUCAACCGGCUGAGGCCUUCCCAUCAUUAUUGAGAACCUCACUCGGCACUGAGAUCUUCUACACCCAGCCCUGCUCAGCACCCACUGGCCAGCUGGCCAUCCCCUGGAACUGCCACCCACCCAUCCCCUGCCAGGUAAGUGUUUGCUUUCUUCCUACGAUGUGCAAGGGCAGUCUCCUGUUGCCACCACUCUGGGGCUGUGCGAGUGCUUUCCCAAGCUGCCCUUCCCCACAGGAGAAGGUGAGCAUCAUCCUCUGAUGGCCAGGUCCUACAUCCCAGCAUCUAUAUCUCAGACAGCAAGGGCCCUCUCCAGCACUGCGCAAUUUCCUCCUUGCAGGUAACGUCAUCCCCUGGGGAAGUUCCUCUGACUCCUCCAGCGCCAACCAGGGCCCCUUUCAUCAGGAAUCCCUGUCUCCCUAGCAGUCCCAGGACCCACGCUGAGGGCUGUAGGAUUUGAGUCUUCCUAUUGUCCAGUGGCUGAUAAAGGAGAUGGGGGCUCUUGCACAGCUGAUGGGAUGACAGACACGCUCGCUCACAAUUUCCUGCGGAGGGCCUGGCGUGAUGAGGCCAUUCUAGAAACAGAAAGAAAGACUUCCCAGAAGACAUCAGUGGGAAAUUGAAAGGGGCUUAAGGGGAAAAGGAAGUACCAAGAGUGGUCAGUGGCAGCUGUGACAGGGGAGAGGGACUGUCUCCAAGGAGGGUGGCUGCCUGCUGAGGACCAAGAUGUUAACAGGAACAGCGGAGGCACUAGGCCUGGGAGGAAUGUGGUCUGCACACCUUGGGGGGCUCACUCUCUUUAAGUUCCUUGAUUUGGGGCUGGUAUCUAAAGCAUUCGCCACACCCUUAUCACUGUGGACGCGUCAGACGUUAGACAAGUCCCCUUCUGAGGCUGUCCUGGAUUGGAGCAUUUGGCCACCACAUCUCUAAGUUCCUGUAGAUGCCAGCAGCGCCCUGCCCCCACUCGUGACAACCAAAAGUGGCUCUGGAGGGAGGAUCUCCCACUAGUGAAAGCUUGGGCUCUCAAUCUAAUUAAGCCUCACUGUCAACACGGGACCAUAAUGACGGCAAUGCGGCAGUGGAUGGCAGCCGUGAGGACUGGCCUACUUCGGAGCACAUUUCUCGAACAUUAGCACUUGUGUGCUAAUGGCUGUUUAUGCUUCAUGCAUCAGCUGGUCCAGUCCCAUAGCCCAUCCUACAUGUGCAACGCCAGCACCACCACUACCACACUUAACCUCGUGAGGAGGCUGUCUCCAGAUCUGAGUUUGACCAGCAGCUCCCAAGGGCUUACAGGAGGCAGAGAGGAGCAGCGCCUGUGGGAGCUGCCUAGUUUUGAGGGUGCUUGGUCAGUGGUGGAGGGGAAGGAGAGGAAGGGGGAAUGGGGAUAUUUGCCUCCUCUCCGGAGUGAUGGUUCAGCAGUUAAGAGCACUGACUGCUCUUCCAGAGGUCCCAAGUUCAAUUCCCAGCACCCACAUGGUGGCUCACAGCCAUCUACAGCUGUAGUCCUAUGGGAUCUGAUACUCUCUUCUGAUAUGCAGGUGUAUAUGCAGAUAAAACUUCCAUAUACAUAAAAUAAGUAAAUUGCAUUGUGGGUUGGGAGUACGGAAGAAAUGAUGCAGUUGUUAAAGUGGAUUCAAUUCCUAUCACCCACAUGGCAGCUCACAAUACUCCAGUUCCGGGGGAUCUGACACCUUCGCGUAGGCAUACAUGCAGGCAAAACACCAAUAAACAUAAAAAUAAAUCUUUAAAAAAAUGCUUGCCUGUUCUUGCACACAUGUGUACAUGCAUGUGUGUAUGAGCCUUGUGCAUCUGUGCAUGUGCAGUAUGAGGAUUUGUGUGUGCAUC
Non-coding RNA from Myodes glareolus (Bank vole), 2311 nucleotides. NCBI's taxonomy places the organism in Eukaryota, Metazoa, Chordata, Mammalia, Rodentia, Cricetidae. The record is from RefSeq and is a predicted model, not a curated record.